CUGAGGAACUCCCUGGGGCCGAUGCAUCAAGAGGAUGACUGGAAUGGCAUCCAAAAGCCAUGACUACAUCUAAGCAGGAAGCCAGGACAUCCCGGCAUUGGUCGUGGUCACGGAUUGACAUGUUUUGGUCAACAUCAGAGAUUAAAGAGGCGAUUAAAGAACUGGAGAUAGGGUCGAGCUUGAAGAUGGAAGAAAUUGGCUUUACCACAUUGAUCAACUCCGAGGGCGAGCAUUCAUCUCUGCCUCUCGGCUGGAAGGGGCCUUACCAGAACUAAUUGCUGAGGCAGCCUCCUCAGACAGUCCCCAACCAAUCAACGUCCCAAACGCUCCUUCCUGUACAACGUUCCCAUCAGGCUCAUCUGAAGAAAUGAGCCUUCUUCCGUCUGUGGAGCCACCAAUUGAAAUUUCAGCAAAGUCUCCAGGAGCUCCAGCGGCUCAGGAGCAGCCUCCUCCUCCAGGUAAAGUCACUCCUGAACUGCAUUGAUCUGGGAGGAGUGCAGGCAUCCAGCGUAUCUACAAGAUUAUGCAUGUGCCAUGCAGGAGGGGAGGAAUGUUGCGUCCGCAAGCCACACCGUUGGUAGGCAUGAUGCAGAAGCACCUCCCAUUGGCUAAGACAUGACAGCUCAGCCAGCCGGAGAAUAAACAUGCACCAUUGGUUAAACCAUUUGACAGCUGCUAUAUAAAUAGCGGCUUGACAGAAAAUUGUUGUUGCCGGUUCUGCAUUACUUGUUGCAUGUUAGCUGUUACCCUAUUAAAAGGGAAUUACCUUGAAAA
Molecule: non-coding RNA, 774 nt
Organism: Pantherophis guttatus
Lineage: Eukaryota; Metazoa; Chordata; Lepidosauria; Squamata; Colubridae
Source: RefSeq, a predicted model, not a curated record